This 166-nucleotide ribosomal RNA is filed under the name uncultured bacterium. RNAcentral describes it as "partial 16S ribosomal RNA". It matches the Rfam family "Bacterial small subunit ribosomal RNA", at positions 349 to 507 of the family's 1533-position model. The record is from RNAcentral.
CAGCAGUGGGGAAUAUUGGACAAUGGGCGAAAGCCUGAUCCAGCAAUGCCGCGUGUGUGAAGAAGGCCUGCGGGUUGUAAAGCACUUUCAGUAGGGAAGAAAAGCCUGAGGUUAAUACCCUUGAGUCUUGACGUUACCUACAGAAGAAGCACCGGCUAACUCCGUG